Molecule: ribosomal RNA, 468 nt
Filed under: uncultured bacterium
Lineage: Bacteria
Description: partial 16S ribosomal RNA
Rfam family: Bacterial small subunit ribosomal RNA
Source: RNAcentral
GACGAACGCUGGCGGCGUGCUUAACACAUGCAAGUCGAACGGAAAGGCCCUGCUUGUGUGGGGUGCUCGAGUGGCGAACGGGUGAGUAACACGUGAGUAACCUGCCCUUGACUUGGGGAUAACUUCAGGAAACUGGGGCUAAUACCGGAUAGGAGCUCCUGCUGCAUGGUGGGGGUUGGAAAGUUUCGGCGGUUGGGGAUGGACUCGCGGCUUAUCAGCUUGUUGGUUGGGUAGUGGCUUACCAAGGCUUUGACGGGUAGCCGGCCUGAGAGGGUGACCGGCCACAUUGGGACUGAGAUACGGCCCAGACUCGUACGGGAGGCAGCAGUGGAGAGUAUUGCACAAUGGGCGGAAGCCUGAUGCAGCAACGCCGCGUGCGGGAUGACGGCCUUCGGGUUGGAAACCGCUUUCGCCUGUGACGAAGCGUGAGUGACGGUAAUGGGUAAAGAAGCACCGGCUAACUACGUG